CUCGGCGUACUCGACGUCGGACAGCCGCCCUUCCAUGGUGGCGCGGAACUGCUCGGUGUUCUGGCUCUCCGCGCCGAAG
Molecule: transfer RNA, 79 nt
Filed under: Catellatospora sp. TT07R-123
Lineage: Bacteria; Bacillati; Actinomycetota; Actinomycetes; Micromonosporales; Micromonosporaceae
Description: tRNA-Gly
Source: RNAcentral